GAAGAACUAUAUAGAGGGGCGGUUAGAUGGUAUAGUGAAAAGAGACCAAACCAAGAGACAGGAGGGUCUGGGUUUGUAUUUGGUCCUAGAGUUGUAACUAAGACAGAGAGUCAGGAAAGAAAGAAAGAAAGAAAGAAAGAAAGAAAGAAAGAAAGAAAGAAAGAAAGAAAGAAAGAAAGAAAGAAAGAAAGAAAGAAAGAAAGAAAGAAAGAAAGAAAGAAAGAAAGAAAGAAAGAAAGAAAGAAAGAAAGAAAGAAAGAAAGAAAGAAAGAGAAAGAAAGAAAGAAAGAGAAGGAAGGAAGGAAGGAAGGAAGGAAGGAAGGAAGGAAGGAAGGGAGGGAGGAAGGGAGGAAGGAAGGAAAGAAAGAAAGAAAGAAAGAAAGAAAGAAAGAAAGAAAGAAAGAAAGAAAGAAAGAAAGAAAGAAAGAAAGAAAGAAAGAAAGAAAGAAAGAAAGAAAGAAAGAAAGAAAGAAAGAAAGAAAGAAAGAAAGAAGAAAAAAGGAAAAAGGAAAAAAGAAAGGAAGAAAGAAAGGAAGGAAAAAAAGAAAGAAAGAAAGAAAGAAAGAAAGAAAGAAAGAAAGAAAGAAAGAAAGAAAGAAAGAAAGAAAGAAAGAAAGAAAGAAAGAAAGAAAGAAAGAAAGAAAGAAAGAAAGAAAGAAGGAAGGAAGGAAGGAAGGAAGGAAGGAAGGAAGGAAGGAGGAAGGAAGGAAGGAAGGAAGGAAGGAAGGAAGGAAAGGAAGGAAAGGAAGAAAGAAAGAACGAAAGAAAGAGAGAAAGAAUAGGAGAAAGAAAGAAAGAAAGAAAGAAAGAAAGAAAGAAAGAAAGAAAGAAAGAAAGAAAGAUGAAGAAAGAAAGAAAGGAGGGAAGGUAGGGAAGGAGGGAAGGAAGAGAAGGAAAGGAGGAAGGGAGGAAAGAAAAAAAAGAAAGGAGGAAAGGAGGAAGGGAGAAAGAGAAAGAACUAGAUAAUGAGAGGUUAAGUAACUUACCCAAGGUCACACAUCUAUAAGGAGAAGAGCUGGGAUUUGAACUCAGAUCCUUUAUCUUUAGACCCAGGGCUCUUUCUUCUUUACUAGGAGGAGAGGGAAACUCAGCCCAAUAACAGGUUUGGUUCACAGUCAUAGAACUAGUAAGCUAGUCCCCUAGUUUUUCUUGAUCAGUUAAGUCAAGAGCAUAGGAUAAGAAAUGGACAUUUUACUGGCAAGGCCAGAAAACUUGGCCAUUUUCCUUUCAAUGGACACGGCACAUUAAGACCUAAUUAUAUCACCAGGCUACUGCAAAGCCGAAUGAAUUAAAACCAGCAAAGUGGCUUUGAACUCUUUCGAUGAAAGGUGACUGAUAAUUGCUAAGCACUUUUAGAAAGAGGCUUUUAAAACACAAUUGCCCUCUAUUAAUCUGAGCUCCAACAGACCCGAAGUUCAUGAACAGUUAAAGCCGUUUAGUAAACAUGGUUUUGUUUUGUAUUGCUUCCCCGUUUCUGUGCGGUCCAUGCGUUGCUACAAUUCCCAUAA
Molecule: long non-coding RNA, 1508 nt
Filed under: Monodelphis domestica (gray short-tailed opossum)
Lineage: Eukaryota; Metazoa; Chordata; Mammalia; Didelphimorphia; Didelphidae
Description: lncRNA (ENSMODG00000037109.1)
Source: RNAcentral